RNAcentral lists this ribosomal RNA (477 nucleotides) under uncultured bacterium. Its description in RNAcentral is "partial 16S ribosomal RNA". It matches the Rfam family "Bacterial small subunit ribosomal RNA", at positions 28 to 507 of the family's 1533-position model. The record is from RNAcentral.
GAUGGACGCUGGCGGCGUGCCUAACACACGCAAGUCGAACGAAGCACCUUACCUGAUUCUUCGGAUGAAAGUUUGGUGACUGAGUGGCGGACGGGUGAGUAACGCGUGGGUAACCUGCCCUGUACAGGGGGAUAACAGCUGGAAACGGCUGCUAAUACCGCAUAAGCGCACGAGGAGACAUCUCCUUGUGUGAAAAACUCCGGUGGUACAGGAUGGGCCCGCGUCUGAUUAGCUGGUUGGCAGGGUAACGGCCUACCAAGGCAACGAUCAGUAGCCGGUCUGAGAGGAUGAACGGCCACAUUGGAACUGAGACACGGUCCAAACUCCUACGGGAGGCAGCAGUGGGGAAUAUUGCACAAUGGGGGAAACCCUGAUGCAGCAACGCCGCGUGAGUGAAGAAGUAUUUCGGUAUGUAAAGCUCUAUCAGCAGGGAAGAUAAUGACGGUACCUGACUAAGAAGCUCCGGCUAAAUACGUG